AAGGUAUCCCUUCCUUCAUUGUGAAACUUCUAAAUGGGUUAAAGGCUAGUUUUGUUACACAAGCUUUACUAAAUUAGGCAAAUUGGAGGCAAUUUCAUGUCAUUCUGCUAUAUUUUUAAAACUUGCUCCUGCACUAGUAUCAUUGUGUAGAUGAGUCUCUUUUAGUUACUAUUCACUAUGUCAUUAAACUUAAUUCAACUAAACCUUAAUCCUAAAUUAGUUGGGAUAGGUUAUGUGGAUCCUUUUUCUCCAUUCUACCCAACUUAGGCUAGCUCUUUACAAAAAUGUGGUGCCACUAUAUCCUUUUAAUACUUCCACCCAUGUCAUUCUAGGUCUGUC
This 339-nucleotide unclassified non-coding RNA is filed under the name Hevea brasiliensis (rubber tree). The record is from RNAcentral. Lineage: Eukaryota; Viridiplantae; Streptophyta; Magnoliopsida; Malpighiales; Euphorbiaceae.